Molecule: long non-coding RNA, 1416 nt
Organism: Bombus impatiens (common eastern bumble bee)
Lineage: Eukaryota; Metazoa; Arthropoda; Insecta; Hymenoptera; Apidae
Exons: 2
Source: RefSeq, a predicted model, not a curated record
UAGAUCGGAUAUUGUCUUGCUUUCUUCGGGGACGACUUCCAGACGCUUCUGAAGUGGCGGUAGCUGACACGCAGUAUUACGUAACGUAAUGAUCUUCGUUAUCGCCGAUAUAAUCCAGCAUUUUCUCAUGUAGCAGGUUCAACGUGUGUACCACAUCUUUGAUUUUCGCUAUGCGGGUCGUCACGUCACUGGACUCUUGUUCCUCCGUGGCGUGCCAUUUGUGCAAGUGUAUCGCGAAAUCAGUUUUUUAUUCGUAGAUAGCCGACAAUCUGUCCUACGUUGCCUUUAUCGUGUUGCAACUAAUUAUGUAGAGAAUCAAUUGCCUUGCGACUGUAGUCGCGAUAAACUUUUGCGCUGUACACCACCGCGAAAGGUAUCUGCCUUUUGCCACGUGACCACAUUUCUUUCCUGCUGUCUACGCACCGUCCCGACCGCGCUAUCCACUGGCUCGUUCCGGUUUUCUUGUCUCUCGCUCGCGACUUCUCAAGCUUUCUGAGCAUUUAAGAUCAUACGGAUUUGGAACUUAAAAACACCCCAGUUAUCCACGCCGCUAAGUUCGGUAAUAACCGAAAACUCGGUCUCCGUUGCAUUUUGAAGUUACCUUUACGCUAUUGCACGAGUCGGUUAUAACCUCGGUUUUUCAUCAGAGUUUUCCGCUCCAACAAAGUCAAGUCAUAAAGUAAUUGGGCCCUUAACCAUAUGCAUCCAUAUGCAGAUGAAGAUUAGUUUCGUUGCGGUUUAGCGACAAACGAGUUUAUUAUAACCUCAAGAUUAUCUUGGUAUUUCAGUCUGUGUACGUGCUGGCUGCUUUACUUUUCAAGGAAAGAGAAAGAAUGACGACAAAGGCGGUGUGAACGUGGAAUGAAGAAAAUAACUAUGUGAAACUGACCGUGGUUUGCCCAUCAAUCGCUACUAACCAACCGUACCUACUGAACUUGUUCGAGUUUAUUGGUAUCUUGCAACAACCCUCCAUACCAAUAAAAAUACCAAUAAAAAUAGACGUGAAAUGUCAGGAUUAUUUGACCACGCCGCGGGACAAACCGUAUACACGAUGUUCUGUGAAAUGGUGUACAUCAUUUUUGAAGCACUUCCAAUAAUGUAAGAAAAAAAUAUUUCUAACACAAAUUAGUCAGCUUUGAGUCGGCUGUAAAUUGCGAUAUUUAAAAUUGGCAACAAAUUGUUUCUUUUGAUAAAAAGCCAAGGUCAUCUUGACUUUUUUAAGUAGCACAAUAUAUUUUUGAUAUCAUAACAUUGUAUGUGUGGAUUUUGGUUUACAAAGGUGUUGAGUCAUUUUUUGAAGGCGACAUUGAGAAAUAAUGCACAGUUGUCUUUCCAUAGCAACUUAUUAGGAAAAUCAAUCCGAAGUAUAAUAUCGCCUUCAAAAAUAACUAAAUAAAUUUCCACUGUAUGCUCAAA